Long non-coding RNA from Amblyraja radiata (thorny skate), 535 nucleotides. RefSeq lists it as uncharacterized. The record is from RefSeq and is a predicted model, not a curated record. Lineage: Eukaryota; Metazoa; Chordata; Chondrichthyes; Rajiformes; Rajidae. The transcript has 5 exons.
CGAGAUUCCUAUAUUUUACAACUUUACAAAGGUUAUUGACGAAAAACAACUCCUGAUAACAGUGAUGUGAAAGAUAGAUAAUUUAGAUCUUUCUAAAAGUGACGUUAAGAUCUUCGUUCCCAGGGGUGCAGACGGUCCGUUGGAAUGUAACAUUACAGCAGUGAUGGCCGACAAAAUAAAAUGUGUAUUAAUCACAAAUGACAUUUCAAUAUCAGAAUUAGAGGUGAGAAUUGGACAAUGCAUUAGGAAUCUAAUGGUUCCAUCUACCAACAAAUCCAAUUUAAUUCGAUUACUUGUGAGCCUUGUUAUUCUGGUGAUUUUGAUUGUCAUAUGUUGUUGGGAAUUGAGUCCGAAAGACAAGCAAUUCUCUAAAAAACUGGAUCCCCAAAUGGAGCUCUUGGAAAGUAAAUUCCGGACACAAAUUUGAUAAGGAGGCGAAGGUGAAGAUGGAAGAAUCGCUGAAGAAAUCUGAAUUCGGAUAUAUAAUGCAUGCUAUUUUUUGUUUUUGAUAUAUGCUAAGCCUUUAUAGCUACUU